CCGCGGGAUUAGAGUUUGAUCCUGGCUCAGGACGAACGCUGGCGGCGUGCUUAACACAUGCAAGUCGAACGGAAAGGCCUCUUCGGAGGUACUCGAGUGGCGAACGGGUGAGUAACACGUGGGUAAUCUGCCCUGCACUUCGGGAUAAGCCUGGGAAACUGGGUCUAAUACCGAAUAGGACCAUUUAGCGCAUGCUUUAUGGUGGAAAGCUUUUGCGGUGUGGGAUGGGCCCGCGGCCUAUCAGCUUGUUGGUGGGGUGACGGCCUACCAAGGCGACGACGGGUAGCCGGCCUGAGAGGGUGUCCGGCCACACUGGGACUGAGAUACGGCCCAGACUCCUACGGGAGGCAGCAGUGGGGAAUAUUGGGCAAUGGGCGCAAGCCUGACCCAGCCAUGCCGCGUGCAGGAUGAAGGCGCUCAGCGUCGUAAACUGCUUUUAUCUACGAAGAACAGCAGAGAUGAGUCUUUGUGUGACGGUAGUAGAGGAAUAAGCACCGGCUAACUCCGUGCCAGCAGCCGCGGUAAUACGGAGGGUGCAAGCGUUGUCCGGAUUUAUUGGGUUUAAAGGGUGCGUAGGUGGCGUUUUAAGUCUGGUUUGAAAGCAGGCGGCUUAACCGUGUGAUGUGGCUGGAAACUGGGGCGCUUGAAUGAGUUGGCGGUAGCCGGAACGGGUCAUGUAGCGGUGAAAUGCAUAGAUAUGACCCAGAACACCGAUUGCGAAGGCAGGCUACUACGACUUGAUUGACACUGAGGCACGAGAGCAUGGGUAGCGAACAGGAUUAGAUACCCUGGUAGUCCAUGCAGUAAACGAUGAUUACUGGCUGUGUGCGUUCAAGCGUGCGUGGCUG
This 848-nucleotide ribosomal RNA is filed under the name uncultured bacterium. Its description in RNAcentral is "bacterial SSU rRNA". It matches the Rfam family "Bacterial small subunit ribosomal RNA", at positions 1 to 849 of the family's 1533-position model. The record is from RNAcentral.